RNAcentral lists this unclassified non-coding RNA (967 nucleotides) under Hevea brasiliensis (rubber tree). The record is from RNAcentral. Lineage: Eukaryota; Viridiplantae; Streptophyta; Magnoliopsida; Malpighiales; Euphorbiaceae.
GCAUGAUUGACAAGUCAAGUGUUGCUGUUGGAAGCGAUGAUUUGGCUCACUAGCAUACGGAAUUUUUUUUUUUUUUUUAAAUCCAUGUAGAUGAAAAGUUCUUUUUCAUUUUUCAGCUCCUCAUGCUGGGAGGCAAUAUUCACCUACUGGGUUUGGCUUACCAAUUGAAAUUGGCUUCCACGUUUCAAUGAUUAGAAGCAAAUGCAGCUAGAAGAGGAGAACGAAACAGAGGGGUUUGAUUGUAUUUUCAUAUAUAUAGUUUUUUUUUUUUUUUUUCUCUUUGCUGGUUUUAUGAAUUUCUUAAUUUGAGGGUUAUUACAUGGUUUUAGGGCUUUGGAAUCAGUUGUGAUGGCUACUGUCAUGCUGUAGCCAUUCUCAACUCUGCCACUACCAGGUUUUAAGAAAAUCACCUAAUGAAGGUUUUUGUAUCUUUUCACUCAUAUCAUAGUAACACUUAUUCAGAUAGGGUGUUAUUUUUUGCAGCUACACUUGGUGAUAUGAUUUCUGACUACCUGUGAUUAGUUGUAGAUGUUUGUAUUUUGAGAAGGAAUGAUGGUACUGCAUCAUUUGGUCUCAAUUCACAGGGUUUGAGCUCCUACAAGUUUUUCCUUUGCAAUUAUUAUUAUUAUUCCCUUUGGAUCCUAGAUGCUUUUAGGCUUUUUACUCGGAAAAUUUCUUUAGCAGGUACCCUCAUCAAUCGUUCUCUUGGUGAAAAUUUGUGGAAAUUCUAAUGAUUGGCCAUUGUUAAGAAUUUGUAAUGAGAAAUAGCAUUGGUGUACAGUUCAUGUUGUAAAUGUUGUCUUUUUUAUUUUAUUUUAUUUUAUUAUCAAUUUUCAUUUACAACCUUCAAGGGAGGAACAUGUUUUCAUUUUUUUUUGAAUUAUCUUAAAUCCUCCAAGAUCAAGCAAAUUUACAAUUAACUGGAGAGAUAUUCCAAUGUGAAGUAUGCAUUUUGUGUCAACUUACA